UAUGUGACUAGACCAUGUCGAGC
RNAcentral lists this non-coding RNA (23 nucleotides) under Cricetulus griseus (Chinese hamster). Lineage: Eukaryota; Metazoa; Chordata; Mammalia; Rodentia; Cricetidae. The record is from RNAcentral.